GACGAACGCUGGCGGCGUGCUUAACACAUGCAAGUCGAACGGAAAGGCCCUGCUUUUGUGGGGUGCUCGAGUGGCGAACGGGUGAGUAACACGUGAGUAACCUGCCCUUGACUUUGGGAUAACUUCAGGAAACUGGGGCUAAUACCGGAUAGGAGCUCCUGCUGCAUGGUGGGGGUUGGAAAGUUUCGGCGGUUGGGGAUGGACUCGCGGCUUAUCGGCUUGUUGGUGGGGUAGUGGCUUACCAAGGCUUUGACGGGUAGCCGGCCUGGGAGGGUGACCGGCGACAUGGGGACUGAGAUACGGCCCAGAGUCCUACGGGAGGCAGCAGUGGGGAAUAUUGCACAAUGGGCGGAAGCCUGAUGCAGCAACGCCGCGGGCGGGAUGACGGCCUUCGGGUUGUAAACCGCUUUCGCCUGUGACGAAGCGUGAGUGACGGUAAUGGGUAAAGAAGCACCGGCUAACUACGUG
RNAcentral lists this ribosomal RNA (468 nucleotides) under uncultured bacterium. Its description in RNAcentral is "partial 16S ribosomal RNA". It matches the Rfam family "Bacterial small subunit ribosomal RNA", at positions 28 to 507 of the family's 1533-position model. The record is from RNAcentral.